GAGGAAAGAGGGAGGCGUGCUUAACACAUGCAAGUCGAACGGAAAGGCUCCUGCUUGCAGGGGUACUCGAGUGGCGAACGGGUGAGUAACACGUGGGUGAUCUGCCCUGCACUUCGGGAUAAGCCUGGGAAACUGGGUCUAAUACCGGAUAGGACGAUGGUUUGGAUGCCAUUGUGGAAAGUUUUUCGGUGUGGGAUGAGCUCGCGGCCUAUCAGCUUGUUGGUGGGGUAAUGGCCUACCAAGGCGUCGACGGGUAGCCGGCCUGAGAGGGUGUACGGCCACAUUGGGACUGAGAUACGGCCCAGACUCCUACGGGAGGCAGCAGUGGGGAAUAUUGCACAAUGGGCGCAAGCCUGAUGCAGCGACGCCGCGUGGGGGAUGACGGCCUUCGGGUUGUAAACUCCUUUCGCUAGGGACGAAGCGCAAGUGACGGUACCUGGAGAAGAAGCACCGGCUAACUACGUG
This 465-nucleotide ribosomal RNA is filed under the name uncultured bacterium. RNAcentral describes it as "partial 16S ribosomal RNA". It matches the Rfam family "Bacterial small subunit ribosomal RNA", at positions 38 to 507 of the family's 1533-position model. The record is from RNAcentral.